Molecule: non-coding RNA, 46 nt
Filed under: Trichobilharzia regenti
Lineage: Eukaryota; Metazoa; Platyhelminthes; Trematoda; Strigeidida; Schistosomatidae
Source: RNAcentral
GUACUUCUGAUGAGUCCCAGCCUAGGACGAAACAGCUGUCUAAUAC